CCUACGGGAGGCAGCAGUGGGGAAUAUUGCGCAAUGGGCGAAAGCCUGACGCAGCGACGCCGCGUGAGGGAUGAAGGUCUUCGGAUCGUAAACCUCUGUCAGCAGGGAAGAAAGGUCACUGUGCUAAUCAGCAGUGAAUUGACGGUACCUGCAAAGGAAGCACCGGCUAACUCCGUGCCAGCAGCCGCGGUAAUACGGAGGGUGCGAGCGUUAAUCGGAAUUACUGGGCGUAAAGCGCUCGUAGGCGGUAUGUCAAGUCAAGGGGGAAAUCCCCGCGCUCAACGUGGGAACUGCCUUUGAAACUGGCAAACUGGAGUGUGUGAGAGGAUAGUGGAAGUCCAGGUGUAGGAGUGAAAUCCGUAGAUAUCUGGAGGAACAUCAGUGGCGAAGGCGACUAUCUGGCACAUAACUGACGCUGAGGAGCGAAAGCGUGGGUAGCAAACAGGAUUAGAUACCCUGGUAGUC
Molecule: ribosomal RNA, 465 nt
Filed under: uncultured bacterium
Lineage: Bacteria
Description: partial 16S ribosomal RNA
Rfam family: Bacterial small subunit ribosomal RNA
Source: RNAcentral